RNAcentral lists this ribosomal RNA (253 nucleotides) under uncultured bacterium. RNAcentral describes it as "partial 16S ribosomal RNA". It matches the Rfam family "Bacterial small subunit ribosomal RNA", at positions 524 to 776 of the family's 1533-position model. The record is from RNAcentral.
UACGUAGGGUGCGAGCGUUAAUCGGAAUUACUGGGCGUAAAGCGUGCGCAGGCGGUUUUGUAAGCCAGAUGUGAAAGCCCCGGGCUCAACCUGGGAAUGGCAUUUGGGACUGCAAGGCUUGAGUGCGGCAGAGGAGACUGGAAUUCCUGGUGUAGCAGUGAAAUGCGUAGAUAUCAGGAAGAACACCAAUGGCGAAAGCAGCUCUCUGGGACGGUACUGACGCUGAGACGCGAAAGCGUGGGGAUCAAACAGG